GACAACAGUUGGAAACGACUGCUAAUACCGCAUAAGCCCACGGGUCGGCAUCGACCAGAGGGAAAAGGAGCAAUCCGCUUUGAGAUGGCCUCGCGUCCGAUUAGCUAGUUGGUGAGGUAAUGGCCCACCAAGGCGACGAUCGGUAGCCGGACUGAGAGGUUGAACGGCCACAUUGGGACUGAGACACGGCCCAGACUCCUACGGGAGGCAGCAGUGGGGAAUAUUGCACAAUGGGGGAAACCCUGAUGCAGCGACGCCGCGUGGAGGAAGAAGGUCUUCGGAUUGUAAACUCCUGUUGUUGAGGAAGAUAAUGACGGUACUCAACAAGGAAGUGACGGCUAACUACGUGCCAGCAGCCGCGGUAAAACGUAGGUCACAAGCGUUGUCCGGAAUUACUGGGUGUAAAGGGAGCGCAGGCGGGAAGACAAGUUGGAAGUGAAAUCUAUGGGCUCAACCCAUAAACUGCUUUCAAAACUGUUUUUCUUGAGUAGUGCAGAGGUAGGCGGAAUUCCCGGUGUAGCGGUGGAAUGCGUAGAUAUCGGGAGGAACACCAGUGGCGAAGGCGGCCUACUGGGCACCAACUGACGCUGAGGCUCGAAAGUGUGGGUC
This 609-nucleotide ribosomal RNA is filed under the name uncultured Bacillota bacterium. RNAcentral's name for it is "bacterial SSU rRNA". It matches the Rfam family "Bacterial small subunit ribosomal RNA", at positions 142 to 767 of the family's 1533-position model. The record is from RNAcentral. Lineage: Bacteria; Bacillati; Bacillota.